This 524-nucleotide ribosomal RNA is filed under the name uncultured Acidobacteriota bacterium. RNAcentral's name for it is "bacterial SSU rRNA". It matches the Rfam family "Bacterial small subunit ribosomal RNA", at positions 382 to 896 of the family's 1533-position model. The record is from RNAcentral. Lineage: Bacteria; Pseudomonadati; Acidobacteriota.
CCUGACGACGCAACGCCGCGUGGAGGACGAAGAUCUUCGGGUCGUAAACUCCUGUCGAGCGGGACGAACACCUUCGGGGCCAACAUCCUCGAGGGUUGACGGUACCGCUAAAGGAAGCCCCGGCUAACUCCGUGCCAGCAGCCGCGGUAAUACGGGGGGGGCAAGCGUUGUUCGGAAUUACUGGGCGUAAAGGGCUCGUAGGCGGCCAACUAAGUCCGACGUGAAAUCCCCAGGCUCAACCUGGGAACUGCGUCGGAUACUGGAUGGCUUGAAUUCGGGAGAGGGAUGCAGAAUUCCAGGUGUAGCGGUGAAAUGCGUAGAUAUCUGGAGGAAUACCGGUGGCGAAGGCGGCAUCCUGGACCGAGAUUGACGCUGAGGAGCGAAAGCCAGGGGAGCAAACGGGAUUAGAUACCCCGGUAGUCCUAGCCCUAAACGAUGAAUGCUUGGUGUGACGGGUAUCGAUCCCUGUCGUGCCGAAGCUAACGCAUUAAGCAUUCCGCCUGGGGAGUACGGUCGCAAGGCUG